UACGAAGGGGACUAGCGUUGUUCGGAAUUACUGGGCGUAAAGCGCACGUAGGCGGAUUUGUAAGUCAGGGGUGAAAUCCCGGGGCUCAACCUCGGAACUGCCUUUGAUACUGCAAAUCUCGAGUCCGAUAGAGGUGGGUGGAAUUCCUAGUGUAGAGGUGAAAUUCGUAGAUAUCAGGAAGAACACCCGUGGCGAAGGCGGCUCUCUGGGACGGUACUGACGCUGAGACGCGAAAGCGUGGGGAGCGAACAGG
This 253-nucleotide ribosomal RNA is filed under the name uncultured bacterium. RNAcentral describes it as "partial 16S ribosomal RNA". It matches the Rfam family "Bacterial small subunit ribosomal RNA", at positions 524 to 776 of the family's 1533-position model. The record is from RNAcentral.